Non-coding RNA from Schistosoma mansoni, 47 nucleotides. The record is from Rfam. NCBI's taxonomy places the organism in Eukaryota, Metazoa, Platyhelminthes, Trematoda, Strigeidida, Schistosomatidae.
AUCUAGCUGACGAGUCCCAAAUAGGACGAAAUCGCGUCAAACUGGAU